RNAcentral lists this ribosomal RNA (491 nucleotides) under Thalamita malaccensis. RNAcentral's name for it is "partial large subunit ribosomal RNA". It matches the Rfam family "Archaeal large subunit ribosomal RNA", at positions 1996 to 2681 of the family's 2987-position model. Lineage: Eukaryota; Metazoa; Arthropoda; Malacostraca; Decapoda; Portunidae. The record is from RNAcentral.
GUUGUUAAAUAGCCGCGGUAUCUUGACCGUGCAAAGGUAGCAUAAUCAUUAGUUUUUUAAUUGAAAACUCGUAUGAAUGGUUGGACAAAGAAGAGACUGUCUCCUAUAUUAAAAUUGAAUUUAACUUUUAAGUGAAAAGGCUUAAAUAUUUCAAAGGGACGAUAAGACCCUAUAAAGCUUUAUAAAUUUGUGAAAUCUGGUGUAUUUUUAUAUAUAAAUAAUUUUUUAUAAUUUUAUUUGGUUGGGGCGACAAUAGUAUAAUAUAGGUAACUGCUACUAAAUUAUACAAAAAUAUUUGAUUAACUUAAAUAAUCGAUCCUUUUUAAAGAUUUUAAGAUCAAGUUACUUUAGGGAUAACAGCGUUAUUUUUCCUGAGAGUUCUUAUCAAAGGAAAAGUUUGCGACCUCGAUGUUGAAUUAAAAUGUCUAUAUAGUGCAGCAGCUAUAAGAGAAGGUCUGUUCGACCUUUAAUAUUUUACGUGAUCUGAGUUC